AGCAGAGUGUAGGGCAGAUGCAACGAAAACAUACCUUCCCCCCAUUACCCAAAGCCUAGUCACAAUCUGUGCUCUCCAGUGCCCUGAGUCCAAAGGCUGUCCCCAGCCACUAGCACUGUGUUCCCCCAGAAGGGAUAUGGAGGCAAGAGUUAGCCAGCUGUCGAGGUUCCUCCUGCAAGGAAAAGCAGUGAUCAUAAGACUCCUUGUGAUAAUUUAGGGCAUUAAGGCACCAGAGCAUUUCACAGUUUUCAUACUGCCCCAGUGCCUUAAUGGUUUAACAAAAGCUGCAGACAGAAGCUUCCUCCAGCACUGAAAUGCUCCAGGAGAUGUUUAGCAGUGCACAGCAGCAAAGCUCUACAGCUUAUGAGAGGAGGUAAAGAAUUUUCUUUGCAAGUAAAAGUACCAGGGGACUAAAUCCUGUCAGCCUCACUCACCUGACUGCAAUGAGAGUGCUCCCAUGAGAAGCCACUUUCAUGUGGAGAUGAGGCAUGCAGGAUUAGGGCCUUAAUAUGCAACUCUCAGAGAGGCCAUAUCUAAUUACUAGAGUUAGGACUUGGGCUUCAGAGGUAAUCCCUCUGCUCUUACAAAAGGUGAAGUUAGUUUUUUAAUUAUGCCAAAUAGGAAUGGGAUUGAUCCUUUGCUGUGAGAAACACCAGGAGGAAAGAAUGAGUUUCGGCAUAAAUUCGAUCAGCCGGGGCUUUUGGUUCAAUCAGACAUAGGUCUUCGAGAAUCAUAAGCAAGAGGGACUAUAUUAGAGGUUCCUGUGUGAUCAGUGAAAGUCUUCCCACAAAGUGCCUAGCUGCUGUGCACUUCCAAUAUUGGCAGACUGAAUUCUCUGAACUAAAACUGCCAGGACAUCAAUAAAAGGGGAGGCUUUGUGCCAUCUCAUACUUUAAAACUGACAUGACAACUUUCCUGGGGCUUGCCUCACACAUAUGCCAACUUCUCCUCUAAGUUAAACUCGGAGUAAGUAGUCAGUUUAGUCCAAAAGCCAAGAGAUAUCACCUUACAGUUAUUUUCUUUAUCUCGGAGUCAGUCAGGAAUUAAAUGGCACUGCAUCCUAUUCUCCAUCUACAGUAAGGAGGCACAGAACAUUUUAAGUGAUUCCCUCAUAUUUGCUGCUUGAAUAAAUGGAAUAUAAUUUACUCUGCAUUGGCAACACUUAAAAGAGAUGCUAGCCAUACAAAAUAUUAAUAUGUCCUUUACAAGAUCACUCCUCAACUGAUUCAGUCACCUUUCAGACCAGUUCUCACCUCCACAAAUAAAUAACUGGAGCUAAAUCACCCAGAAGCUCAUACGUUCACUGAGCUAGAUCCUGAGAUAAGAUAAAUCAGUGUAACUCUAUUGAAGUCAAUGCAGCUAUAUACCAAUUAACAUCAGCAAAGGGUUUAACUUGAUGUGCUUUGUAUGGCUUCCUACUAAGAAAAUUAAUUAUAAAGCCAUAUAAUUUGAAUGGGAGAUUUUUCUAGCAUAGCUCAGGGUGGAAGAAAUGCCCAGAACAGCCCUAGGAUUAAGGUGGUGUAUCAAAGACAAUUAGGCAUUCACAACUGACCUGCCUAAUAUACAUUUUAGAUACACCCAGGACCUAGGGUCUUUCAAGUGAAUCUCAUUUUGACCUGUGUUUUCCCUUUCUUACAUUCCAAACUUUCCUAUAUUCCACAAACAUUCAGUAUCCCCCUGAUUGUAUUACUGAGUGGCCACAUCUACAAAAGACACUGACUGUGCAGAAACUCCAGUUAUUGCGCAGUUUCAGUGAGGAAUGGCUUUUUCAUGAUGCUGACUGCACAGUAGCUUGUGACUACUAGGGGUGUGUGAAAGGGGCCCUACCUAUUCGAUUUGGAUUCAGAUUCAGCCUGAAUCAGGGACAGUGAUUUCAUUUGUUGAUUCGGAUCACUGUCCCUGAUUCAGUUUGCCCAAAUCUCAAGCUGAAGAUUCAAUGCUGAUUCGGAGAAUCAGUGAUUCGGACACAGACACAGCUUUAAAA
Molecule: long non-coding RNA, 1984 nt
Organism: Alligator mississippiensis (American alligator)
Lineage: Eukaryota; Metazoa; Chordata; Crocodylia; Alligatoridae
Exons: 3
Source: RefSeq, a predicted model, not a curated record